ACAGCAAUGUGCAGGCACAAGGGGAAGCCAUCUACAAGCCAAGGAGAGAGGCUUCACGAGAAACCAACCCUCCUGACACCCUGAUCUUGGACAUCUACUCUCCAGAAGUGUGAGAAAAUAAAUUUCUGUUGUUUAAACAACUCGGUCUGGGGUGACUUAUGGCAGCCCUCACAAAAUAAUUCAGCUGAUCACAUCAGCACCCUCUGCCUAUCAUGCAGCAGAAUUCCAGAGUUGAAGUGAAGCAGGUAUUCGGCCUAACCCACAUGGUUUGUGCAAGCAGUCUAGGCACAGUAAGCCACGCUUACCAGUUACCGAUGGUGGGAACACUCCCCAAAUUCAAGUUCGCAGAUGCAAAUCAAGAGCCAACCAUGCAAGCUGGCCCUUCUAAGGACAGCUGUCUCAGGCCCGCUGUGUUAACUCUUUUCUAUAUGUGCACACACACACACACACACACACACACACACACACACACAGUGACUUCCAUGAGAACAAGGGAUGCCCUUCACUCUCUAGCACCUCUAUAUCUUUUCUAGCCUAGACAAUGCCUGAGGGAUUAUGAGUGUGGGCUGGGACAAUGACAUCACAGACCGUCAACCCACAGCCUGGUCCUGGGAGAAGACCUAUUCUUUCUUCAGAACAGCCAUGGGAAUCAGGCUUCUCUGUAGUGUGGCCUUUUGCUUCCUGGGAGUAGGCCUCGUGGAAGUGAAAGUAACCCAGAACCCGAGAUAUCUAGUCAAAAGGAUAGGAGAGAAAGUUUCUCUGGAAUGUGCCCAGGAUAUGGACCAUGAAAGAAUGUUCUGGUACCGACAAGACCCAGGUCUGGGGCUACAGCUGAUCUAUUUCUCAUAUGAUAUUAAAAACGAUGAAAAGGGAGAUGUUCCUGAUGGGUACAGUGUCUCUAGAGAGAAGAAGAAGCAGUUCAUCCUGAUUCUGGGGUCUGCCCGCACCAACCAGACAUCUGUGUAUCUCUGUGCCAGCAACCCACCCACAGCGCAGCACGCCACAUCCUCUCUGCACAAAAAGAGCAGACAUUGGAAAGAAGAGCCCCUAACUCAGGACUGAUGCUGGCUCCAACGGCACAUUCAUGAUCAAUAGAAAAAAGGGACUUCUAAAGAGAAACUAGCUCCAUAAGCACAUUUCUUUGCAAGGAGAAAAUGAGGUAUUAUUUCUCACCCCUUUACAAGUCAGGGACUGUUCUAGAUUUAGUCCUCCCAAUCCAAUGUGUUGUAAAUUUCCGAGUCCCAACAAGGAGGAGAAGUCCUCUUGCAUAUUCACACUUAGCCCGGUUCUACCAUUUCUUUAAUUAAUGUUACCUUGUCUCUCUUGCUGUGCAUUUUCUACUUUGCUUAGUGUUUUCCUCUUGGUUGAUAUUUCACUAGAGGACAUUAACAUAUUCCAGAUUCUUUAGAUGAUUCUUACUGUCCAUGUGCUGAUUCAAGAGAAAGUUUAUGGAAUUUGAAUUCCGUUAUUCAAUUUAGAAAGAGAAAAACUGAUUAAAACAAAUCUUCCUCCAGGUUCUCUGAUCAAUCUUAUUUUGCUGGGAAAAAUUCUGAUCACAGAAGGUUCAAACCACGCUGCAGAAGCUGGAGGAAUUAGGCUAUAACUAUACUCACUAUCUUCUGGAAAAAGUGUGUAUUUGUCUGUUUUUAAGAAUAAAACACAUACUCUUCUGCCAGUAAAAAUUAACGGUGCUUUGGAAAUACAAGUAAAUGUAAAGGGUAUUAGAAAUCCCAAACUGCAGAGCACUUACACAAUUAUUAUUGGCAAGACAAAACAGGCAUGUGAAAACGUAUUUUGAUUCAGUGCUAAAUUUUUAAGUGGAAGAAGUCAGAGAAAAAAGUUAAAUCAAUAUGUAUCACAAUAUUCAAGAUUAUGUUUGUAUGAGAUAGGACUUGAGCUGAUUUUGAAUACAAGUAAAUGAGGGAAGAGAAACUACUGAAAGGAAGAAAUACCCUGCAAUGUUUCUGUGAGAGAUUCUACAGGAAUGAAGAGGAAGAUUCUUUCCCUGAGAAAAGGCAGGAAUCACAAUUCUCCUGGCUGAGGUCAACAUUCAGAACAGAGAAAGCACAUCUUCCUAAAAUAUGAUUAAAUCCUUUCUCUUUUGCCCCAAGGAUACAAGCUAGCGGUGCUUCAGGCUGCAGCGUUUACCAUGAGAUAACAUACAAGAUUUGAUAGAAGAAAUUCUUUCACCACCUUCUAAAAAUUACAGUCCUUAACAACUACAUCCUGUUCAAGAAGGAGAAUUCUGAGCACUUGAUUAGCCAUACAAGCUUCAGACUGACAUUGAUUAAAAGGGUGCUGAAAAAACAUCACGACCCAGGACAGCAACGUCUCUGAGGUCGUCCAUGCUCUGAUGAUGUCACACGUCUUUGCCUGUCUGGAAGAGACUUCCCCAAAAGCAUUACCACCAACAUCAAAGAAACAAAACACAACGGGUCAUUGCAACUUUUGCUGCUUGCCCGUGACAAGGAUGGCAAGAAGAUCUGUAGAGAAAGGCAAUGUUUUCGUGUGGAAUGUGAUGUUCCGAUUUCUGUUGUUCUGUGCUUUGCAAUUUUCCCCCAUAAAAAAUUAUCGAAUACUGAUUAUUAUAUAUAUUUAUGUUACAUUAGGAUUGGAGACAGUUCUGUUCAGAAAUAACUCCAAGAACAGUUUUUAUAUUUUAUUUUCAUCUUGAUAAUCAGUCAAAUUUGCUUCAGCCUCAAAGAGCAUGUUUAUGUCAAACUAAAUGAAUGCUGGCA
Molecule: non-coding RNA, 2738 nt
Organism: Sapajus apella (tufted capuchin)
Lineage: Eukaryota; Metazoa; Chordata; Mammalia; Primates; Cebidae
Source: the annotation of a RefSeq genome assembly